Molecule: ribosomal RNA, 255 nt
Filed under: uncultured Desulfobulbus sp.
Lineage: Bacteria; Pseudomonadati; Thermodesulfobacteriota; Desulfobulbia; Desulfobulbales; Desulfobulbaceae
Description: partial 16S ribosomal RNA
Rfam family: Bacterial small subunit ribosomal RNA
Source: RNAcentral
GGUGGGCGACUCUAAAGGGACUGCCGGUGUUAAACCGGAGGAAGGUGGGGAGUGACGUCAAGUCCUCAUGGCCUUUAUGACCAGGGCUACACACGUACUACAAUGGCCGAUACGAAGGGCAGCGACACUGCGAGGUGAAGCCAAUCCCGUAAAAUCGGUCUCAGUCCGGAUUGGAGUCUGCAACUCGACUCCAUGAAGUUGGAAUCGCUAGUAAUCGUGGAUCAGCAUGCCACGGUGAAUACGUUCCCGGGCCUU